Salvelinus fontinalis (brook trout) is the source of this 419-nucleotide long non-coding RNA. RefSeq lists it as uncharacterized. The transcript is spliced from 5 exons. The record is from RefSeq and is a predicted model, not a curated record. Lineage: Eukaryota; Metazoa; Chordata; Actinopteri; Salmoniformes; Salmonidae.
AAAAGAGCUUUAAGACGCCGCCCUUAUGUGUUGAAACCAGUGAGGGUGAACAGCCCUGAUUCCGUGUUGUGGCCAACCGGCAAGGUGCACAGAAGGCCAAAGCCUUCUACUUCAGUGCAGACCCCUCAGAUCCACAAAAGGCCUCCAAUCAUUGUGAGCUAUGGGCAGGACCAAACAUCUGGGGAUGGAUGGAGCGUCAAUCCAGAGCCUCUCAGCCAGUCUGGAAGGGUGACUCGGCUGAUAGAGAGAAAAAAUGAUGACGUGAUCUCAUCCUCCAGUUCUGAUGACUUUUCCAUCUACUCCUUCACUGACUGUGAAUCGGAGGUAAGAGUUGUACCCUACCGUCCAUGGCUUUGUUGAGUGACAUCACUGUGAGGAGGAUGGUCUCUGACUAGUUGACUCUGAUACACAGUGUGAUG